CGACCUCAGAUCGGACGAGAUUACCCGCUGAAUUUAAGCAUAUAACUAAGCGGAGGAAAAGAAACUAACAAGGAUUUCCCCAGUAACGGCGAGUGAAGCGGAAAGAGCCCAGCACCGAAUCCCUCAGUGUCACGCUGACGGGAACUGUGGUGUGUGGGACGCCACCAGUCGCAUCAGAGGGUGCCGAAGUCCUCCUGAUCGGGGCUUCACCCAGAGCGGGUGUAAGGCCUUUACAGGUGCCACUCUGUGCGGCCGCGAGCGUCUCAGGAGUCGGGUUGUUUGGGAAUGCAGCCCAAAGCGGG
RNAcentral lists this ribosomal RNA (302 nucleotides) under Rhytida inaequalis. Its description in RNAcentral is "eukaryotic LSU rRNA". It matches the Rfam family "Eukaryotic large subunit ribosomal RNA", at positions 1 to 296 of the family's 3401-position model. The record is from RNAcentral. Lineage: Eukaryota; Metazoa; Mollusca; Gastropoda; Stylommatophora; Rhytididae.